This is a non-coding RNA of Camelina sativa (false flax), 1420 nucleotides long. The record is from RefSeq and is a predicted model, not a curated record. Lineage: Eukaryota; Viridiplantae; Streptophyta; Magnoliopsida; Brassicales; Brassicaceae.
UCAACACUAAGAAAAAAUAAAAAAAACUCAUUGACCUAAUUAUCUAAACGGAGAGCGAGCCCGUGUAUCUCUCUCUCUUUCUCGCAUCACGGCGAUCCCUCUGUCCGACGAGAAUUCAUGGAAUCGGAAGCAAACAGAGGAUUGUGGUAUCAUGUCGCCGUCCAUCACGUCAUGUCGCCGCCGCAAACAUCGGUAAAGGGUUAUGUUGAUUUACAGAGGAUGAAGAAGUACAGAGGCAAAUGGCAGAGGCCACUCACAUGACAAAGAAGAAAGUGAAAAACGAGGCCAAAGUGGGUAUAAUCAGAUUAUAGUUCUAUAUGAUUUUCUUAUGUUGAUUGAGUAAUCAUAUAUAUGUUUGUGUUUACGAUUGUAGAGGAAAUCAGUUUUUUUUUUUUUCAUUCUGGAUAUGAAAUUACAAGCAGGAACCAAAGGAGAAUAAUAAUGACUUACCGUCAAGAAGCUUUGGCACUCUAUUGUCCAGGGGAGAUAAUAAUGCAGGAAGGCAGGCGUUAGGAAGUUCUAACACACAAGCCAAAAAACUAAAACCGAAUCAAUCAUCCAAGUCACCUUUUCCUAUCUACAUAGAUGCAGUUUCAGACACUACAUCAGGGAGUCAACCAGAAUCAGACAAGUCAAAGCCAGAGUUUGGUAGUUGGCUCAUGCUUGGAGGAACAAAGAAAAAAAUUCUUUACCUAGAAAAUGGGCAUCAUUCAAGGUACCUCAGAAACCCAUAGUGAGAACUGCAGCAGCCUCUGCUUCAACCUUUGAGGUUUUUGUCGGUGAAGAAGAAUGCACAAAAGAGGGCGGAGAUAAGAAGAAGAGUGAUGAAACUAUCUCAUCAUCAUCAAACGCUCUGCCCCUUAAUGAUGGCCGUGAGAUAAAAAAAGAAACAGAGCUGCUUCGACAGAACCCUUUAAGACAUUUCCCACCCAACAGCUUCCUACGAUGAUGAUGAUAUUGGACAUUCAUCUCCACACGAUCUUCUGCUUUGAGAUUUGAGCUUAUAUCCGUGGUUUGAAAAAAUAUCACAAGAUUGUGUUGCUGCUAGUUUACAACUCAGGUAUGGACAGUAGAUUUGUUGGUAGCUCAGGAAUUAUGUUUGGCCACACAUAAAUUGAGCUUGGCUAACAUAUUCUCUAAGACCUUGAUGGUUCUAAGAGGGAACUCACGAGGAUGAUUCAAAUCUUGCUUCAAGGUGGAUAAUUGGUUGAGCUUCUCUAUUGGCGAGGAUUAGAUGUAUGAAAAUUGGUUUGAGUAUUCUAAAGAGAUUACAGUUUCCUAUAGUGGAUGCAACUGGACUUAGUUUAUUAAACUCACGCUUGCAAUUUUCUUUGGGGGUGGGAGUGAUAGUGAGUAUCAGUUAUCAAAGAGGAAGGAUAGUGUAUUCAUCUACUUAUUUUUAAUUAUGUUUUUAAUUUUA